Molecule: ribosomal RNA, 439 nt
Filed under: uncultured bacterium
Lineage: Bacteria
Description: partial 16S ribosomal RNA
Rfam family: Bacterial small subunit ribosomal RNA
Source: RNAcentral
CCUACGGGAGGCAGCAGUGGGGAAUAUUGCACAAUGGGGGAAACCCUGAUGCAGCGACGCCGCGUGAAGGAAGAAGUAUUUCGGUAUGUAAACUUCUAUCAGCAGGGAAGAAAAUGACGGUACCUGACUAAGAAGCCCCGGCUAACUACGUGCCAGCAGCCGCGGUAAUACGUAGGGGGCAAGCGUUAUCCGGAUUUACUGGGUGUAAAGGGAGCGUAGGCGGCGAUGCAAGUCAGAAGUGAAAGCCCGGGGCUCAACUCCGGGACUGCUUUUGAAACUGUAUGGCUAGAUUGCAGGAGAGGGAAGUGGAAUUACUAGUGGAGCGGUGAAAUGCGUAGAGAUUAGGAGGAACACCAUUGGCGAAGGCGGCAUGCUGGACGGUAAAUGACGCUGAGGCUCGAAAGCGUGGGGAGCAAACAGGAUGAGAUACCCGUGUAGU